CUUCUCUGGAGAAGCACAAUGAGGGACGUCUACAGAGACUGAGAAAGAGUCUCACCACAUCCUGACAUGAGGAAAAAGACUUUAUUGAAGACUACAAUGAGAAAAACUAUCAGACAGCAGACGGCUGCAUUCAAGAGAAGAAGACCAUCAAACAUCCACGUCAGCUGAUGGAGGUCCAAGAGUCUCACCAAACAAACAACCUACAGAGUGAAGACCUCAAAUCUGAUUGGACGGCCUCCUAUUCAGGCACGUUUUAGGCUGUUAGAUUGUUCCAGAUAAGACAAGUACAAGAUUCUUCAGAGCCGUUCUACCACGAGCCUGACAGGAAGAACUCCAACAGCUACUGAAUGUUCCUGUGGUCCCCUCAAGGCUACAGGAGGAGCCCUACGAGGACGAGCCGGUCCACCUGAUGGAGGCCAGUCGCUGCGGUUCAAAGCCAACACCGACUACAUGGACUUCUACUGGACCACACGGAGG
Long non-coding RNA from Amphiprion ocellaris (clown anemonefish), 477 nucleotides. The record is from Ensembl. Lineage: Eukaryota; Metazoa; Chordata; Actinopteri; Pomacentridae.